RNAcentral lists this ribosomal RNA (438 nucleotides) under uncultured bacterium. RNAcentral describes it as "bacterial SSU rRNA". It matches the Rfam family "Bacterial small subunit ribosomal RNA", at positions 961 to 1392 of the family's 1533-position model. The record is from RNAcentral.
ACGCGAGACCUUACCAGGGCUUGACAUGUGCGGAACCCUGCCGAAAGGCGGGGGUGCCACCCUUGGGGUGGAACCGCAACACAGGUGGUGCAUGGUUGUCGUCAGCUCGUGUCGUGAGAUGUUGGGUUAAGUCCCGCAACGAGCGCAACCCUCGUCGCAUGUUGCCGGCGGGUAAGGCCGGGCACUCAUGCGAGACUGCCGGUGACAAACCGGAGGAAGGUGGGGAUGACGUCAAAUCAUCAUGCCCCUUAUGCCCUGGGCUACACACGUGCUACAAUGGCCGCUACAGAGCGUACCGAACCCGUGAGGGGGAGGCAAUCGCGAAAGGCGGUCCCAGUUCGGAUCGCAGGCUGCAACUCGCCUGCGUGAAGCCGGAGUUGCUAGUAAUCGCGGAUCAGCAUGCCGCGGUGAAUACGUUCCCGGGCCUUGUACACACCG